Long non-coding RNA from Oreochromis niloticus (Nile tilapia), 457 nucleotides. RefSeq lists it as uncharacterized. NCBI's taxonomy places the organism in Eukaryota, Metazoa, Chordata, Actinopteri, Cichliformes, Cichlidae. The transcript is spliced from 3 exons. The record is from RefSeq and is a predicted model, not a curated record.
UUUGUGCUUCACUCACUGUUUUUCCCACGUCUCAGGUUUCCAUGUUCCAGGUCUCAGGUGAACCUAACGAGCAGUACUCCCAAAAUAUUCCUUCACAGGCUGGCAGAUGUUUGCUGAACAGUGCAGAUCUGUAGAGUUCAAGAUGUGCCAGCUGACUCACGAGCAUGUGAGUGACUCGUCGUGACAACAUAUCCAUCACUGUGCCCGAGCCAAAAUAAAGCAUGCGAAAUGUAAAUGGUUUCAUUGCACAGGAAACACACACAGUAAUCUCUCUGGUGCUGCAAAGGAGGAGAUGGCAGUGCUCCUUAAUGUCAACUUGUGCGUUUGAAAAGAAGUCCUGAUGAAACAUUUCAGGUUUCAAAUCUAGAAACACAAAAACAACAUCUCUUUGUUCUCGGUCGGCUUGAACACCAGACCCCAUCUGUUCUCCAGGGUGAAUUAUGCCGUCUGUCAUUCA